This 257-nucleotide ribosomal RNA is filed under the name uncultured bacterium. RNAcentral's name for it is "partial 16S ribosomal RNA". It matches the Rfam family "Bacterial small subunit ribosomal RNA", at positions 524 to 776 of the family's 1533-position model. The record is from RNAcentral.
UACGUAAGGGUGCAAGCGUUAAUCGGAAUUACUGGGCGUAAAGCGUGCGCAGGCGGUUUUGUAAGUCUGUCGUGAAAGCCCCGGGCUCAACCUGGGAAUUGCGAUGGAGACUGCAAGGCUUGAAUCUGGCAGAGGGGGGGUAGAAUUCCACGUGUAGCAGUGAAAUGCGUAGAGAUGUGGAGGAACACCGAUGGCGAAGGCAGCCCCCCUGGGUCAAGAUUGACGCUCAUGCACGAAAGCGUGGGGGAGCAAACAGG